AUUGUACUCUCCAAGGUUUUCUG
RNAcentral lists this microRNA (23 nucleotides) under Panagrellus redivivus. Its description in RNAcentral is "prd-miR-239-5p". Its record names the gene prd-miR-239-5p. Lineage: Eukaryota; Metazoa; Nematoda; Chromadorea; Rhabditida; Panagrolaimidae. The record is from miRBase by way of RNAcentral.